AGAGUUUGAUCAUGGCUCAGAAUCAACGCUGGCGGCGUGCCUAACACAUGCAAGUCGCACGAGAAAGGGACUUCGGUCUUGAGUAAAGUGGCGCACGGGUGAGUAACACGUGACUAAUCUACCCUCGAGUGGGGAAUAACUGAGAGAAAUCUUAGCUAAUACCGCAUAACACUUACGAGUCAAAGCAGCAAUGCGCUUGGGGAGGAGGUCGCGGCCGAUUAGCUAGUUGGCGGGGUAAUGGCCCACCAAGGCGAUGAUCGGUAUCCGGCCUGAGAGGGCGCACGGACACACUGGAACUGAAACACGGUCCAGACUCCUACGGGAGGCAGCAGUGGGGAAUUUUGCGCAAUGGGGGAAACCCUGACGCAGCAACGCCGCGUGGAGGAUGAAGUAUCUUGGUACGUAAACUCCUUUCGAUGGGGAAGAUAAUGACGGUACCCAUAGAAGAAGCCCCGGCUAACUUCGUGCCAGCAGCCGCGGUAAUACGAGGGGGGCAAGCGUUGUUCGGAAUUAUUGGGCAUAAAGGGUGCGUAGGCGGUUUGAUAAGUCAUCUGUGAAAUCUAUGGGCUCAACCCAUAGUCUGCAGGCGAAACUGUCGGGCUUGAGUAUUGGAGAGGUGAGUGGAAUUUCCGGUGUAGCGGUGAAAUGCGUAGAUAUCGGAAGGAACACCUGUGGCGAAAGCGGCUCACUGGACAAUAACUGACGCUGAUGCACGAAAGCUAGGGGAGCAAACAGGAUUAGAUACCCUAGUAGUCC
Molecule: ribosomal RNA, 756 nt
Filed under: uncultured bacterium
Lineage: Bacteria
Description: bacterial SSU rRNA
Rfam family: Bacterial small subunit ribosomal RNA
Source: RNAcentral